GUGAGGAAUUUUCCGCAAUGGGCGAAAGCCUGACGGAGCAAUGCCGCGUGAAGGAUGAAGGCCUAUGGGUUGUAAACUUCUUUUCUCAGAAAAGAAUUAUGACGGUAUCUGAGGAAUAAGCAUCGGCUAACUCUGUGCCAGCAGCCGCGGUAAGACAGAGGAUGCAAGCGUUAUCCGGAAUGAUUGGGCGUAAAGCGUCUGUAGGUUGUUUAAAAAGUAUUCUGUCAAAGAUUAGGGCCUAACCCUAGAUAGGCAGAAUAAACUUUUAAGCUAGAGUUUGGUAGAGGCAGAGGGAAUUCCCGGUGGAGCGGUGAAAUGCGUAGAUAUCGGGAGGAACACCAAAGGCGAAGGCACUCUGCUGGGCCAAUACUAACACUGAGAGACGAAAGCGAGGGGAGCAAAUGGGAUUAGAAACCCGGGUAGUCC
RNAcentral lists this ribosomal RNA (426 nucleotides) under uncultured bacterium. RNAcentral describes it as "partial 16S ribosomal RNA". It matches the Rfam family "Bacterial small subunit ribosomal RNA", at positions 354 to 796 of the family's 1533-position model. The record is from RNAcentral.